This is a non-coding RNA of Oryctolagus cuniculus (rabbit), 5682 nucleotides long. Lineage: Eukaryota; Metazoa; Chordata; Mammalia; Lagomorpha; Leporidae. The record is from RefSeq and is a predicted model, not a curated record.
UCAAGGGUAUGGCAUUGGGGCAGGAGAGGAAGAGUCAGCAGCACAGAGGGGCUUGGGAGCUCUUCCUGCUGGAAGGGGUCCAUGUACUGAACCUGGAGGAAGUGACCUCACUUCCUUGGUAACAGGCCACAACAGAACAUGGAACUCUGGUAACCAGGCACCCACAUUCUAGUGGUAGCCAUUGCCAGCUCACUUGAUGGGAAAUGUUGGAGGCAGAAAAAUGUUCUCUUGCUGCUUCUUAUCAAGUUUGGAGGUGCAUCCACACUGCACCUGGCAGAGGUCUGCUCCCUAUGGAGCCUGCAGCCAGGCACCAGGGCAAAGUUGGAGGAGUCCCUGGUCCCAGCCUCCCCAGGAAGAACCAUCGCUUACUUGUCCACUCUGCUGUGCUCAUAUGGCGACUUCAGCACUGUUCCGUAUUUCCUGGACCAGAUAUUCCAUAGGUGAGCAUCUGUGCCCUCCAGGCACACGGGGCCUCUGCCACUCACUAGCCGUGGCUCUCUGCCUGCCUGCUCCUCUGAGAAGUGGGGUGGUGUGAUUGUGAGCCUCAGGGGUUGUACAGGCACCGUGUGACUUCAGACAUGGCAGGGGUCCUGAUGCCUGCUCUGUGGCCAGGGCUGCUGGGGCUGUGCUCAUCCCUCUUCUGGUCUCUGCGCCCUCGGGACUCAAUAGCCCAUGGCCUUCUACAUUUGGAAAACCCCACAGAGAGCAGCCCUGCCUUCCCAUCUGUAAAGGAGGCCUCCCAGCCCCAGUCCCUGAUACAAACAGAGCAGGGCCUGGGCACUGGGUAUGGGGCCCAGGCCCCUCAGCUCUGUGGCAAGGGGCCGUGUGUGGUUCAUCCCCACAGCACGUGAAUGUUAAGUACUCUGGGCAGUCACUUUACAGACACUUGUCACAGCUCAGUGAGCAAAGCAGACAGCAUAAACAGGGCCUCUUGACCUGGGAGGGCCCAGACUCUCCCAGCUGAACGCCUGCCCGGGUCCUGUCCACAGGGUCAGAGGGGAGAGGAUGCGUCCUCUCAUGGUCUUGCCAGGAUGUCAGAGCCCAGGCCCCACUAGGAUGUCAUGGACUUUGGGUCCAGACAGGGGCCUUCUGUCCCUGCAAACUGUGGGAGCAAAAUGUGGGCUGUGGCUGGGGAGGGACAGACAGGGUGUGGAUCUCUCACUUCCUGUUACUCCUCUGAGAGCACCAAGGCCUGGGGACUCCCCACAAAGGAAAGGAGAACAGAACUGGGAAUGGGGUUCCAGACCUGCAAAGGAGAGGGGAGGCUGGGGCGCAGAGCAGCCAGGGGUCCAUUCCCAGGACAGGUGCUUCCCAGCUCUGCCCAUGCUCCCCACUCCUACCCCAGGAGGUCCAGACCUGCAGAGAUCCUGAGAAACCUGCUCCUAAGUCUGCCCAGAGCCUUUGUGCUGAGCACUGGGGGCCCUCCCCUCAGGGAAGAAAGUCACUGGGAGGCUGUCACCACGGGGUCUGACCAGCCUGUUGACCAGGUCUGCCACUGCCAGGGCAGCCCAGGAGGGCUUGGGGGGUGGGGUCAUGCUCUGGACAGGAGGAGGCAUGCCCAGGGCUCCAGAGCCACAGAGGGGCCCCUGGCAGUGCAGUGUGGCAGCCAAGGCCAACCUCUGACCCCGCUGCCCUCACUUGUGUCCCCAGCAACAUGGCUUCCUUCCUGGGAUGCUGCAGAGACCUGUACAAGGCAGAGCUCCAUGGUCACACCAGCCUUCCACUGCUGAAGAUGAAGGUGGGCUGCAAGCCUGUCAGCCUGCCUGGAGGAGACCUGGGGACCCAGGUGUACUUUCUGUAUGCCCUGCCCGUUCAUGCCCAGCACCCUGAGGCCAAAGCAGACAGUGAGGGGUAGUGCAGUCUGCAGGUCUCUCAGGGGUGGUGUUUGGGGCUGGAAUCCCCUUCCAGGCAGUGUGACCUCUCGGGCUUUUCAGAGGCCAUUGGAAGAUGUUUCCUGUUGACGAACCUUUCUCUUCUUCCAGCUCCUGCUUUGUGUGCAGGGCCACCAUCCUUCCACGUACUGGCUCUCGAGCCAGCUGCACACCACUGACUCAGCCUGGACCUGCUCUGGAGCCAGGGCCAGCUUCCCCAUGGGGCCUGUCCCCAUGUGCACAAUCAACACUAGUACCAGCUCCACAGGCCUCCUCUGGAUGGGCUGGGAUUACAGAGGAGCUGCCUGGGGCGGAGAUGGUUGACAUCACCACCUUCUCCCCCAGGAUGAUGGCAGAGCAGCUCAUACUCCUGGAUGCGGUGAGCAGCCAGCUCUGCUGGGCAGGGCCAGGGCCACAGCGUUCCUGUGGCACCUGCCAUCCCACACAAGCCCUGGUCAGAGUCCAGCGUUCUGAGUCAGCACAGGCUUCAUGUCUCAGCCCCAGUGUGACCCGGGCUCAUUUCUAAUGUCCUAACCCACCUGUCCCCUGUGGACAGCAGAGAUGGGACAUACUCAUGCCAGGUGCACAGAGCGACAGACAGAAAGCUGGGCAUGGUGUGGCCCAGAGGUUGUGGAGGGCACUGAGGUGCAGGUGGCCCCCCAUCCCCUGCCAGUCUGCCCAGAAUGCCUUACCUGUCUCAGCACUGAUUAGGCUUCAGAGUUGGACGGGGUCCCAGAGCAGACACACAAACAGAGCCCCUUGUUGUAGCUGCCACAGGGAGGUGUGCUGGGAUGGGGACAAGGAGCACAGGGCUGAUGGUAAUUGGCCGAGGGAUGGGGAGUUGGCCAGGAUGCCUGGAGAAAACACCUCUGUUUCUUCUCUCCAAGAAUGGGCUCUGGGCCAUGAGGUUCUAGGCACCCUCAGUGGGCUGCUGCUCCCACCGCUGUGAGCCGCAUGCACAGCAUCCUGGGAGUGUGGGCACCAGUGCACUCUGAGUGGGGUUGGCUGUGCCCAUGGGACACUCUCCUUCCCAGGUGCUGUUCCAGAAGGUAGUGCCCUUCCACUGCCUAGGCUCUAACUGGACCAAGUGCAACAAGAAAGGCAAGGCUUCCUGGCCUCCACUGUUCAUGACACCAUUAAGCAAUUCAGCUGUGUGACAAAUAGUGUAGUAGCCACAUGCUUGGGGGACCCCAGCAUGAAGGCCACAGACAGGGACCAUGUAAGGUCAGCUGUGGGUGGCCAGGGCACUCACUGCACACUGGGAAUGGCCACAUUGCUUUAUCAGCCCUCGGAAGUACAGCUUGUGGCUGAAGACCCUGCACAGACCCUGGGCCCUUCCUGGCAGGGAGGGGACUGACCUGACUCACUUCUCCCAGGGGUGCAUGCUCACUUCUCACCUGAGCCUCCACGUGGGUUGAACCCAGUCCUCUCCCUGUGAGGGUGGCCACAGUUCCCUUGUGUGGCUCCGUGGGCCUCUGAUGCAGGAGGAGGACAUCAGCCCAGGGGGAUCCAGGUGACCUCUCCCUCAUCCUCUGUGCUCUGCGGUCCACCUCUCUUUACCAUCUGAACGAGACAUGAGGAAAAGUUUCAAGGUGGGUGCCUUUUCCCACAGGAGCUCCCGGGUGGACCUGGAACCCCAGAACUCAGCACUAAUCCCUCAUGACUCUGGGAAGGGCCAGUGGCCAGGGACUUGGGGACCAGACGUGGACCAGUUGGGGAGAGUAACUCUCUGCCUCCCUCGGUCCAAGGCCAGGCAGAAUUUCUCACAAGGACAUUUACUUAGUGUCAGGCACUGGCUCCUUUUUAAGAUUUAUGUAUUUGUUUGAAAGUCAGAGUUAUGGAGAAACAGGGAUUGACAGAGAAAUCUACCUGCUGGCUCACUCCCCAAAUGGCCACAGUGGCUGGGCCAGGCCCAAGCCAGUGGCCUUCUCCAUCUGGGCGCCCCUGUGCUCAUAUGGGAUGCUGGCAUCAUAGCCAUCAGCCUGACUCUCUGUGCCACAGCACUGGCCCAGGCCCAGGUUUUUAAUGUGCCCACCUGUUCCUGCUCCUGGGCAGCACCGGAGCUCCUUGUGCAGGUGAACUUGAGGCAAAACAGUUCGCUCAGGCAAGGGAAGGGGCCCAGGUGACCAACUUCAGCUCCCAGCCUGUCACCUGGGCCCCAGGGCUCAGGGAACCCAGUGGGAAACUCACCUCCUUGCUCGCAUCCUCCUUGCUCUCAAGGAAAGGGAGCUGCACUCACCACCCUCCCAUCACACCAAGUAGCUCCUCCUGGUUUCCCAUCUCCACAGGAAAAGCUACAAAAAAAUUGAGCCCCUGUGUGAGAAGGACAAUGGCUUGAGCAGGGAUCUGCUCACCAAGCGUGAUGAGGAGUUCGGCGUGUGGUUCCGGUCCAUGGAGUAUCUCACGGAGAGCGAGAGGUGAGUGAUGGGCAGGAAUUAGGUGAAGUUAGGGUGGGGUGGGGGUGGGGGUGGGGAGCAUCAUCCAGGCCCCCUGGUGGGCAGCAGGCCCUGUCCCGUGGGCACUGCUGGCCCCCAGGACUGCAGCUCCUGGGCAGGCCCUGGGAGGGAGGCCUGAGCUGAGGCUCUUGGUGGACUCAUGGCUGUGCUCUGUGCAUUAGCUAUACCCUGUCCUGCCAGCUGGAGCCCUCUGCCAAGAGGCCCGCAGCAGCCUCAAGGCCACGAACACCAUCGUGAUGUCCUCGUGACUGAGUGCUGGGACCUCAGGGGCAGAUCUGAGCUCAUUGUGAGCCUGGUGCCUGGGACAGCGGCCUCCCUGCUGUGAAGCUGAGGCCUGCAUUGUAUCAGUUUAAUGUGUCCCUCUUAUUUUUUCUCUUUUCCUCCUAUUUAACUAUAGUCACUGUUAGUAGUUCCCUAUUAGAGUUUUAUUAAAGUUAAUAUAAAUAUGUUGCACCAUGAAUUUCAUUCUUCCUCAUCAUUGCUUCCCCAUAACUGAGGUUUUGAGUGGGUGUUCCACACAUGCAAAUGCGCUGUGGGCAUGGGCUCUUCCUAGUUUGUGGCUCCUGGAGCUGCACCUCACUGGCUGAAGUUCCCUGAGGUUCUUCUCCUAAGAGGAGCAGGCAGAUCAUUUGGUGACUGGUGUAAAAAUACUGCCUGACUCCUCUUGCACUUUCUCCCAUGGGUUUAGGAUGUUGGCUCCAGCCUGGCCUGGUCUGGCUGUGGUGAGCAUAUGGGAGGUGAACCAGCAGAUGGAAGAUCUCUCUUUAUGUUUAUCUUCCAAAUAAAUAAAAGAGGGGCUGGUGCUGUGACUUAGCGGGUAAAGUUGCUACCUGCAGUGCUAGCAUCAGGGGUGUGUUCGAGUCCUGGCUGCUCUCCUUCUGAUCUGGUUCUCUGCUAUGGCCUGGGAGAGCAGUGGAGGAUGGCCCCAGUCCUUGGGCCCCUGCACCCACAUGGGAGACCCAGAAGAAACUCUGGCUCCUGGCAUCCGAUCAGCUCAGCUCCAGCCAUUGUGGCCAUUUAGGGAGUGAACCAGUGGAUGGAAGAUCUCCCUCUCUUUCGGCCUCUAACUCUAGCUUUCAAAUAAAUAAACAAAUCUUUAAAAAAUAAUAAAAAAUAAAAAGCAUUUUAGAUGGAAUGUAAAAAUACUACAACAAUGUCAAAAUGCUUUAUCAUAAAAGUCUGAUUUCAUCAUCAUUUAAAAAAUCAUCUAUUAUUUUUCACUUUAUGUUUCUGUGUGGGAGCAAACUGUUGAAAUCUUUACUUAAUGUAUGCUAAACUGAUCUUCUGUAUAUAAAGAGAAUCUAAAAUGAAUCUUGAUGUGAUUGGAAGGGGAGAGGGAGAGGGAAAGGGGAGGG